RNAcentral lists this ribosomal RNA (253 nucleotides) under uncultured bacterium. Its description in RNAcentral is "partial 16S ribosomal RNA". It matches the Rfam family "Bacterial small subunit ribosomal RNA", at positions 524 to 776 of the family's 1533-position model. The record is from RNAcentral.
UACGGAAGGGGCAAGCGUUGUUCGGAAUCAUUGGGCGUAAAGGGCGUGUAGGUGGUUCUGUAUGUCUACCGUGAAAGCGUACGGCUCAACCGUAUUUAGUCGGUAGAAACUGCAGGACUUGAGGCUGGGAGGGGCUGGUGGAAUUCCCUGUGUAGCGGUGAAAUGCGUAGAGAUGGGGGAGAACACUCGUGGCGAAGGCGGCCAGCUAGACCAGUUCUGACACUGAGGCGCGACAGCGUGGGGAGCAAACAGG